Molecule: long non-coding RNA, 1283 nt
Organism: Phasianus colchicus (ring-necked pheasant)
Lineage: Eukaryota; Metazoa; Chordata; Aves; Galliformes; Phasianidae
Source: Ensembl
CUCCCAGUCCAAUUCCAGUCCCUCCCAGUCCUUCUCAAUCCCAUUUCAUUCCAUCCCAGUCUCCUCCCAGUACAUCCAAGUCCCUCCCAGUCCCUUUCCAGUCCCUCCCAAUUCCCUCCCAGUCCAAUUCCAGUCCCUCCCAAUCCAAUUCCAGUCCCUCCCAGUCCUUCUCAAUCCCAUUUCAUUCCAUCCCAGUUCCUCCCAGUCUCCUCCCAGUACAUCCCAGUCCAAUUCAAGCCUUUCCCAGUGCAACCUCAUCCUCUCCCAGUCCCUCCCAGUCCCAUUUCAUUCCCUCCCAGUCCAUCCCAGUCCAAUUCCAGUCCUUCCCAUCCCCUCCCAGUCCAUCCCAGUGCUCCCAGUUGUAACCAGUCUCCCUUUGCAGCACCUCCAUAUCUCUGGAUGAGGAGAAGAGCGCGGCGGCGGUGGCGGCCGUUUGCUCCUACCUGAGGCUGCAGGGGGUGAAGCCCAAGGGGGGCAGUGGAGACGCCAAGAAACCCAAAGGCCACUUCUUCCGGAAGAAGGUAAUUAAGCACCGCCCUCGUUAGCUCGUUAAUUAGUGAAUUACUUAAUUAGUCAGCCGCAGUCCCGUGAAAUAACCCCCAUUUGUUUAUUGGGGGGGGGGUGGAAAAUGAACCCCUUUUGGGGGGUGUAGGGGUGCCCCCGUGCUUUUACUAAUUAAUUAGCGGUGUAAUUAGUGGUUAAUUAGUGAUUAAUAACAGCUUCAUUAGUGAUCUAUACCCCCCCCCCAUACACACGCUUAGUAACCCCAAUUAGCUCUUUUCGGGGGGAAAAUUGAGCCCCUUAAUGAGUCCGUAGCGCCCCCUCCCGCUCUUCCUAAUUAACUAAUUGCGUCAUUAAUGAUUAAUUAGGGAUUAAUAAUCACUUCGUUAACGAGCCGUGGUGUUUCCUGUACCAAAUGACCCCAUUCAGCCUUCCUGAACCCCUCCUUUGGGGUACAGCGGGGCGCCCCGUUGUUCCUAAUUAACGAGCGGUGUAAUUAACGGUUAAUUAGCGCUCAUUAAGCGGUUCGUUAGCGGUUCAUUAACGACUCGCUGCGCUGUUUCCUACAUUUAAUUACCCAACUCAAUGGUUUUCAAGAGGAAAGAACCCAUCUAUUAGGGAAAAGCGCUGCCCUCCGCUCUUACUAAUUAUCUAAGGGCGUAAUUAGUGAUUAAUUAGCAAUUAAUGGGUGGUUUAUUAAUGAGUUCCUGCAUCAAACAAACCCAACUCGCUGAUUCUGGGUGAAGAAUAAACCUCCCUGUUUGCUGGACGGCUGCUGUUGA